Molecule: ribosomal RNA, 425 nt
Filed under: uncultured bacterium
Lineage: Bacteria
Description: bacterial SSU rRNA
Rfam family: Bacterial small subunit ribosomal RNA
Source: RNAcentral
GGGGAAUAUUGCGCAAUGGGGGAAACCCUGACGCAGCGACGCCGCGUGAGCGAAGAAGGCCUUCGGGUUGUAAAGCUCUGUUCUAAGGGACGAAGGACUUGGCUGUGAAUAAUGGUCAAGGGUGACGGUACCUUAGGAGAAAGCCCCGGCUAACUACGUGCCAGCAGCCGCGGUAAUACGUAGGGGGCGAGCGUUGUCCGGAAUUAUUGGGCGUAAAGCGCGCGCAGGCGGCUGUUUAAGUCUGGUGUUUAAUCCUGGGGCUCAACCCCGGGUCGCACUGGAAACUGGACAGCUUGAGUGCAGAAGAGGAGAGUGGAAUUCCGCGUGUAGCGGUGAAAUGCGUAGAGAUGUGGAGGAACACCAGUGGCGAAGGCGACUCUCUGGGCUGUAACUGACGCUGAGGCGCGAAAGCGUGGGGAGCAAGC